GGUAGCCAAAUGCCUCGUCAUC
RNAcentral lists this non-coding RNA (22 nucleotides) under Arabidopsis thaliana (thale cress). RNAcentral also lists the same sequence under 3 other names. Lineage: Eukaryota; Viridiplantae; Streptophyta; Magnoliopsida; Brassicales; Brassicaceae. The record is from RNAcentral.